GUGAAUAUAGUUUAAAUAAAACAUUAGAUUGUGGAUCUAGUAACAGAAGCUUAUACCUUCUUAUUUACC
RNAcentral lists this transfer RNA (69 nucleotides) under Raphicerus campestris (steenbok). RNAcentral's name for it is "tRNA-His". It matches the Rfam family "tRNA". Rfam says of the family: Transfer RNA (tRNA) molecules are approximately 80 nucleotides in length. Their secondary structure includes four short double-helical elements and three loops (D, anti-codon, and T loops). The record is from RNAcentral. Lineage: Eukaryota; Metazoa; Chordata; Mammalia; Artiodactyla; Bovidae.